This 73-nucleotide transfer RNA is filed under the name Canis lupus familiaris (dog). It matches the Rfam family "tRNA". Rfam says of the family: Transfer RNA (tRNA) molecules are approximately 80 nucleotides in length. Their secondary structure includes four short double-helical elements and three loops (D, anti-codon, and T loops). Lineage: Eukaryota; Metazoa; Chordata; Mammalia; Carnivora; Canidae. RNAcentral also lists the same sequence under 1 other name. The record is from Rfam by way of RNAcentral.
ACCUGUUUGGUUCAGUCGGAAGUGUGUGGGACUCUUGAUCUCAGGGUCAUGAGUUCAAGCCCCACAAUAGGUA